RNAcentral lists this unclassified non-coding RNA (230 nucleotides) under uncultured fungus. Its description in RNAcentral is "sequence contains ITS1, 5.8S rRNA gene". The stretch from base 182 to 230 matches the Rfam family "5.8S ribosomal RNA", at positions 1 to 49 of the family's 154-position model. The record is from RNAcentral. Lineage: Eukaryota; Fungi.
UCUCCGUAGGUGAACCUGCGGAGGGAUCAUUACUGAGUGAGGGCUCACGCCCGACCUCCAACCCUUUGUGAAUUCGACCCAGUUGCCUCGGGGGCGACCCUGCCGGCACUCUGUCGCCGGGCGCCCCCGAAGGUCUCCAAACACUGCAUCUUUGCGUCGGAGUUUAAAACAAAUUAAACAAAACUUUCAACAACGGAUCUCUUGGUUCUGGCAUCGAUGAAGAACGCAGC